UACAAAGACUACAACUACAAGUGUUUUGCUUCACUCCGCCCGUGUUCAUUCAUUACAGCUUAUAACUUUUACUUCAAAACUGACCCGACACUUCACCAAACCUAUCCUAUAGAGCUGGGUGUUCCAGCGCGCUGUUUGGCGCUUCGCUGUUUUAUCCGCCAACGGAAAAACCCUGCUCAAAACUUCUAAACUUCUGACUUGGGACACUACAGCUCGCAGCAAUAGAUCCGUUUCCUCUCCUUCCAUUUCGAAAAUUAUGGCCACGAAUUCUGACCUUGCUGAGAUUUGGAACUUGAACAUGAAAACCGUAGAUGAGUAUCUCGGAAGGUCGACGGAAAGCGCUGAGCGCAGAAAAGCGGACGGGGAGGCGACGGACAAAGAUGCGUCCAGUACAACAGCAGGACGGAACUGUAGCGCACGCCGUGAGCGGACAGUCUCCGAUGCGGAGCGCUGUGCUAAAGAGCCUGCUCGGUUCUGUCCGCGUUGCAGUGAAGAGACGAACACCGGGAAUCUCUUCUGCCACCAAUGUGGGUCAAUGCUAGAGACUGCCGCGGAGGGAACUAGCAUCCAUAGCGUAAGCUCUGGGAGAAGCGCUGAGGAACAGCUGUACUUGUCCAUCAGCAAGGGUCCCAUCAAGCGACCACAGCCAGACGAAGACCUCGUGGCAGAAGAGAGUGCAUUCUCAACAAAAAGAAGAGACGCUGUGGAGCAGUGGCGUCGUAGCGUACAAGAUAACUACUUUGACGAUGUGCACUGUCAGCAUGACAGUGUCAAUACCACUUUCGAGGAGGCAGUAUGCGACGAGAGUGGCCAGGCUGAGGCAGAACAGAUCGUGCCUCUUGAGAAGCGCUCAUCGCAGAGUUGCUUUCCCAGGACAUCGUCCCCUCUCCGCGAUGGAAGGGAGGCACAUCUCGAGCCUCCCAGAGCAGAAGAAACUGAUUUACUAGCCGCAGUGUGUCCACCCCAUGAUCUAACAAACCUCCGUAAGGGAAAUGAGACAGAGCUCAUUAUUGACGAUAUGGCAUAUCCUGUAGAUACGGAGUCUAGACACCCUGCAUUGCAGAACACUGAUCACUUAUCAGCAUCGUUCUCAAAGCACAAGGAAGAACCGGACGUGUCACAGAGGGCUGAUAAGACAACCAAUCUAGAAGAAAUGUGUUCCACGGAAGCUGCUGUAGACCGUCAGUCACACCAGGAGAACCGGGCACGAAACACAGCACACAAUGCUGGUGUCAAGUCUCUAGUUUCCACCAGCGGCAGCAGUGAAUAUAACAAGCAGCUCAACACCGUCGGGAAUUUACGGGAUGCCUCCGCCCGCGAUAAGCUGCAGCGGCAGCAGACACACAUCCUUGAGCUGCCCCUGGACGUGCUGAUCAUGUUGCUCAAGGCUGUGCGCACUCGUCACGGCAUGCAGGCCAUGCUGAAUGUCUCGGCCACCUGCCACAAGAUGCGCUGCAUCGUCUUGGACCACUGCUUGUGGACCUCAUUCUUCUUUCAGAAAGCCAACUUACUGGUGGACACCUGUAGCAGUUUCCUGCAGUCGCUGCCUCCUAAUGCUGUAAAGAGACUGUCGUUGGUUGAUUGUCAAUUGUCGAAUCGUUAUGACCAGCAGAAGCCUCUGCAAGAUGCAAUCAGAGCAGCCAGCAACGGCAUCAAGUAUCUGAGGAUCAGUUCACCGAGAGACGAAAUUGGCGAUCGACUUCACAGCUUUGGCUUUCUACAGGGGAUCAGGCUGCGAGAACUAACUUGCCUGAGACUAGAGGCUGUUCCUGGAACGAUAAAUGAUCUUCUCAUACCGCUGUUCAAAAGCGCCAAACGUCUCGAGGAGGUCCGGCUUGCCCGCACAGGAAGCCUCAUGCCGUCGGUCCUUGCAUUUCUUUUCGAGCAACAUGGAUCAAGCUUGAAAUGUGUGCGGCUAAGAGGUAUCCCGCUGAAAGGGAAUUGUGAAGAGAAAAAGAAAUUUGGAAUGGCCAUAGCUGAACAUGGCGGCCGUCUCGAGAAGUUUGAGUUGAGUAAGAACACGUUUGCCUUCAAGCCGGAGACGUGGAAGUGUAUUUUUAGCUCGUUUCAAAAUCUCCGAUGUCUUGGAGUUAGCGAUACUAACGUAAAUGAAGAAGUCCUAAAUAGUCUAUCAGAUAGCUGCCUGUCGACUCUCGUCUAUUUGGAUGUAACCGAUUGCUGGGAGUGCAAUUCGGCAUCCCUUAACGCCCUUCUGAAACGCUGCUUGCCUGAAUUGCGGGUGUGUGGACCUCCGUCAAUGGAUGACUCGCACGAAUUUUUACUCGACAGCAUGUUAAUGUGGGAGUUCGAACAGCUGAGGGCCUCUCACGACGACUUUGACAACUAUUGAGUUUUUUGGUGAUGCAUCGAAGACCAAACGACAUCACAAUCCAGCUGCUUGAGGUCUAUGUCAGUAGCAACGCAUGACGCUUCACACAACAGUGUGUGGACCUCCGUCAAUGCCCGGAUAUAUGCAAAACAACCAGUUUAUGGUUGAUUUUGAAGAUGUCAGCGAGAGGAGGAACUAUCACGACGCCUUUGACGACUAUUGAGCUGUUGGUGAUGCAUCGAAGACCAAACGACAUCACAAUCCAGCUGCUUGAGGUUUAUGUCAGUAGCAACGUAUGUUGCUUCACACAACAGUUGAGUCCUGCUUGAGAGACAGAACUGAUAAUGAUGCAUGAUGACUUUCACUUGUGUCGAUUCCAUGGAAACGCAAACCUCUAGACAAUGAGCCAGUACUUCACAUCUUCUACUUUAAAGUGCUGAUCAGGCUUUUUGUUGUUGUUGUUGUUGUUGUUGUUGUUGUUGUUGUUUUUGUUGCUGCUGCUGCUCUUGUUGUUACGGUUGUUAUCCUUGUCAAUGGCAGCAACAGUGUAGUUGCUCGAAUUUAUGCACUUGGCAUCCAUGCAGAUAUCCAAUUAUACUUAUGUUACAGACGAUCGUCAUCAAGUUCAAAUUGACUGACAUAAUUUAAUUAACACUAGCCAUCCACAGGAAACACCACACGACGUAUACAUGGACCUUUAAAAGAUUGGACGCAGUAGCAAACACAGCG
Molecule: RNA transcript, 3058 nt
Organism: Sycon ciliatum
Lineage: Eukaryota; Metazoa; Porifera; Calcarea; Leucosolenida; Sycettidae
Exons: 9
Source: RefSeq, a predicted model, not a curated record